Long non-coding RNA from Cotesia glomerata, 360 nucleotides. RefSeq lists it as uncharacterized. NCBI's taxonomy places the organism in Eukaryota, Metazoa, Arthropoda, Insecta, Hymenoptera, Braconidae. The transcript has 2 exons. The record is from RefSeq and is a predicted model, not a curated record.
GAAUGUCUAGUAAGAACUAAACAUCAGUGGAUGAGCUAUACUGUGUAGUUGUACAUGUGCCUGCAAUCAUUACAUAAUACCUCGUGUGCGAAACACAUGUGUUUUCAAAGUUUUCUUGAUAUAUAUUCAUAUUUAUUGAUUGAUAGUACUUAAUAUUUUAAUAUCAUUAUUUAUUUUAAAUCUACCGCAAGUUAGUACCCAACACCAAUCACAUUCAAUCAGUUACAUACGGAGGUACAUAUCUAAUUUCUUAAGAAAACUACACCAACUACGAUAAGGAUACUUAUUAACAGUAACUACAAAAAAUAUUUGAUUAAUACUAUCCAAAAGUUUCAAAACUACAUUUUUGAUAAUCAUGAU